UACGUAGGGUGCAAGCGUUGUCCGGAUUUAUUGGGCGUAAAGAGCGUGUAGGCGGUUGCACAGGUCCGUUGUGAAAACUGGAGGCUUAACCUUCAGACUUCGAUGGAAACCGUGCGGCUAGAGUACGGAAGAGGAGAGUGGAAUUCCUGGUGUAGCGGUGAAAUGCGCAGAUAUCAGGAAGAACACCCGUGGCGAAGGCGGCUCUCUGGGACGGUACUGACGCUGAGACGCGAAAGCGUGGGGAGCGAACAGG
This 253-nucleotide ribosomal RNA is filed under the name uncultured bacterium. RNAcentral's name for it is "partial 16S ribosomal RNA". It matches the Rfam family "Bacterial small subunit ribosomal RNA", at positions 524 to 776 of the family's 1533-position model. The record is from RNAcentral.